Molecule: long non-coding RNA, 7224 nt
Filed under: Mytilus galloprovincialis (Mediterranean mussel)
Lineage: Eukaryota; Metazoa; Mollusca; Bivalvia; Mytilida; Mytilidae
Source: RNAcentral
AGAAGAUGGAGCAAAGGCAACAUGUAUUAUACAGAAAAUGUAAAUCAAUAUAAGCCAUUUGAUAAGCAGAAUAAUUAUUGGCAGGGCAGCUGGGCUUAUUUUACCAACUUAGCAUCAGUUAUCAAAUAAUUGGGGGGGGGGUUCACCUGUAUAAAAACCACCCUGCUAGCCACUACUAGGUCUUAAACAAAAAUACCCCACAUCCAUAAGUGGACUUCAGCUGGCCUCUACAUGUACAUGUAUGUAAAUAAUAUCUGUAAUCUAAUAUUCUUAUUUCUAUUGAUAUAUUUGUAAAUCAAGAUAUAUGUAGGUUGCCACUUUCUUUAAAAGUUUACAAUUUUUAUUCUUUGAUAUAACUUAUCCACAUUCAUACCUACACAAUUUAGUCCUUAUAACUAUAUUUUUAAUUUUUUUCUGCCAGGAUGAAGAUGUUUUUUAAUAAUUAUUUUGACUACAUUCAAUACCCAUAGAUUUAUUUAACAUCAGCUAGUGGGCCCCCACUUAUGAAAAUUUCUGGAUCUGCACCUGAUAAUCAUAUUUGUACUUAAAGUCUACCACCAGUUCCAUGUUGUACAGUUUGUCCAGAAAGAGUCUUCAACAAUUUUUUCCAAUUAAGUUGGUUCAGCAGGGGAUGCAAGUACAACUGACAAAACAGAGUAAGUAAAGUAAAAGUACUCGCAUAUCAUUCUGUUUUCUAGCAAAGACUAGAGAGUGAAGUUCUCAGAAAGCGACAAAUUAAAUAUGAUAGUAAUAAAUUGUUAAAUGAUAGUAGAUGCAUAACUAAAUCAAUACUUAUAUCUUUCUUAGAUUCACCAUAGUUUGAUUUAAAGUAAAUCUUUUUUUGGUGCAAAUGUGGUAGUUCAAAUACUUUGUGCACUAAUAUGUGUUAGUUUUCCUUUUAGUUUUCCAAACAAAUGUACACAAAGAAAGAAUAGAUAGGGACAUAGGCUCAUACAAACAGCUGGUGAAAGUUUUGCCAAGUUAUUUGAAUCUGUUUUUUUUUUAUUAUUCAUUUGUAAAGGUAGAAAUCAUAGUUAUGUAGUUUAUGUCCAUGUGACAUUAUCAGACAAAAAAAUAUUCCCUGAAUUUUUACAAAGGCCAAAUGAUACCAUGAUGGAUUGCUUGACUGUAAGCUGUCAAUAUAAUGAAUACACUGAAAUUAAGAACACUUUAAGUUCUAGACAAUCAAACAAAUUAAUAUUUGCAGGGAUGAUUCCACUAUAUAGAUUAGGGCCGCUUUACGGCCCUUAAAUCUGCCAGCGUCCCCAAAAAAAUGAUUGUAAAUACAAAUUCCCAAUUCAUGAAAUAAAACAAAAAUCAGUAUAUCCGGAAAAGUUUCCGUCACCGAUUACGGCAACUAUAAUUUUUCAUAGUUUGUCGUCAAAACGUAGAAAAUCCGGAUAAGAAUGCUGACUAUGAUCGCAUUUUAUUAACAACGAUUCAAUUAUGCAUCAUGAGGUAAACAAUUUUAGCAGCCGGAUUUAAUUGAAGUUAAAAUGUUAUGGGAGUAUUUGGUCUCGUAAAAGUAGAUCGCUCAGCAGGUUGUUAAAAAAUAUGCUCUUUGUCAAAAUGAGUGUCAAAACAGACCUCGACAAAGAGCAAAUUCAAAUUUUGAUAUAACAUUGAUGAAUGAAUUUUAAUGGUAAAAGCAGAUCUCCCAGCAGAGCCGGUUAUGAAAUUUGAUUAAAACUUGUUUUGUAAAAGAAAUUAUUUGAUAUUUUGCUCUUUUUUUCCGCAAAAGACAAAAGUUUGAGCGUUUUGAAAAUAAUGUUGAUGAUAGACCAUUCAUGAAAUGAUACCCCCCCCCCCCCCCCCCUGAAGUACGAUGUCAUCAUUAUGGAACUGUUUCAAAAGAUAUGAAAAUGUUCCAAAUAAUUUUAAAGUUCACUGGUUCAAUUGCUUUAAAUAUCUUAUCAAUUAAUUAUAUAUAUAUACUUUUGUAAUUGCUUUUCUGAAUUCGACAAUUGGUCAGUUCUAUUUGAAAUACAUUUAAAUCAAGGUAAGUUUAUAAAGAUGAUCUGUUGAAAACAUACCCAAUGGAUGAUUGUUUUCACUGGUUAAUAUGGCAAGCCGUUUUGCUAUUUAAUCUAACUUCAAGAUAUAUAACAAACUUUAUAAGAUAUCUUAUAUAUAAGUUCAUUAGAUAUUUGAUAUAGUUUGAAAGAUAUCUUAAAUAGUUCACGAGAUAUCUUAAAUAAUUUAUGAGAUAUCUUAUAGUUUAUAAGAUAUCUCAUUUAAUUUUCUUUAUCAGAUAUCUUAUAAAUUAUAUAAGAUAUCUUAUAAACUAUAUAAGAUAUCUUAUAAACUAUAUAAGAUAUCUUAUAAACUAUAUAAGAUAUCUUAUAUAAAGUAAAUUUGUACGACAUCUUAUAUAAAGUAUAUUUGUAAGAUAUCUUAUAUAUAUUUUAAAAUUGAUAUUAGAUAUCUUCUAUAUUGUAUAAGAUAUCUAUUUUAUAUAAGAUAUCUUAUAAAAAAUAUUAUUUAUGAUAUCUUAUAUAUUAUAAGAAAUAAUAUUAGAGAUAUCGUAUAUAAAUUAUAAGAUAUUUCAUAUAAUUUUCUUAAUAUGAUAUCCAAUAAAUUACAUAAGGUGUCUCAUACAAAACAUAUUUAUAAGAUAUUUCAUAUACUUUAAGAUAUCUUAAAUAAAUCUUAUAUUUUAUAUGAGAUAUCUUAUAUAUUACAUAAGAUAUCUUAUAUAUUAUGAGAUAAUUUGAAAUUCGAAUAAAAAGCUGAACGGCUUGCCAUAGGUUUGUGUUAGCUGGUACUUGUGGUAUAUAUGUUUUUGUAAUAGGCCUUGUUUACCAAAGUUUAGAUGAUAGUGCAUCAUAUGCAAUGAUAUUCAUGUAUUACAACUCCCCUGGUCUGAAUCCAAUAAUUUCUUUAAUCAGUGUACAGGUGAAAUUAACUUAAUAUUCAUUUUCAGUUUUUACAGGAAAAUGAUAUUAUUUCGUCUUAGAUUGUAUGCAUAAAAAAUUCCCAAUUUGAUAUUCAAGGGACCCAUUUGAAAACACCUAGAAUCAUCCCUGAUUUGAAUAAGUACAAAUGUUUACUUUAUACUGAACAUGAAAAAUUAUAUAUAUUAUAUAAACUCUUAUUAAAUGUUUAUGACUUAACAGAAAUGUUGUUAUAAUUCUCAUUAGAGCUAAUAUCCUAAUGCUUGUAAAAUAAGACUUUGGUCGGCCUGCCUGCAAUGUUAGCUCAAUCAUUGAAAUUAAGAUUGACAUCUGCAAACAAUAUAGAUGGGCAUAGUUAUUUAAACUUGUAUAUUAUAUUUCAAUUUAAUUGAAUGUUAUCCCAAUAGCAAUUGUACAAUAUACAAACAAAACAAGCAGGCUAACCAAAUUCUUUCUCUACAUACAUUAGGAAAUUAGCUCUAACUACUGCUUCUAUAAUUUCCUUUCAUUUUAGCAGUUAUGAUACUGUUAUGCCAAAAGAUGACUUAAAGGGGCAUCUGGAGUAAAAAGACAGACAACUGAGUAUAACAUGAAAUUAUUUAUAUCAAUCAAAUUAUAAAAUAUUUGACAAUUUUAUUUUUUAACUAGAGUUUAACACAAAUGUUUAAGACUGAUUAACUUCUCUAAAGUAGUACAUUACAUACUGUCAAAGUUUUAUUCACAAAAUUCAUAACGCUACAUAGUACUGAAGUUUUAUAUAGUUUGUAAAUGUUGUGCUAUUCAUAUACAUCUUCUGUGUCAUUACUCUAUUUACAUGCAAACACAGGAUCAUACAAAUCAUACAUAGUAAACAUUGUAAAAAGAUGUUCAUACAUGUACAGUGUAUGUAGAAAUUUAGUCAAUAUCUAGCUAUAGGAGUAAUUAAACAAUUUUAAAAAUACUGUCUUUAUUUUUAAGUUAACAUUAAUCUAAAUUGCAGUUCUUCAAAUGACCAUGAUCAUGAGUACAGUUGUAAAUUGUUAAUUGAAGAAGAGGAAGAAGUUGAUGGACAGGAAUACAGUAAUCAGACAAAAACAAUUAUGCAUAUGUUGAAUACAACAAGUGGAUUUUUUUUUUAACUAUGCCAGUUUAUUAAGAAUAGACCUAAUUUGUAUAUACAUGAUGAAGAUAAAUACAUCAUAAAAAUAUUUAAAUUUGCUUUAUUCUUUUGCAGGAAACCAAGUAUGAAAUUGAGAGGGUUCAGUAUUUCUAGCAUAUUAUAGUAUUCAUUUAUACUUGGGAUUGCUAUACAACUAUACAAACAGCUGAUCAAGCACAAGCCAUCAUUUGUUACUUUGGAACUCAAUAAUUACUUUAUCUUUUGUUUUUGCUUCAAUUUACUCAUUUGGCCCUAUGUUGCUUCUCACUUUUUUUUUUUUUUUUGCUUGAAGAUAAAAUUUAUGAAUUUAUGCUCUAUAAUAACAAUGUUCAUUAUAUAUAAGUCUGUAAAUAAGGGAAAUACACUUGUUGUAUGUUGGUUCGAAUCCAACUGCAGACGAACAAAUGUAAGCUAGUUAAGCUUAUGAAAGCAUUUUUUUUUUAUCAUUUUACAAAAAAGCAAUGAUUUUUAGGAUAAUAGCUUCUUUAAUAAUAAUUGGAAAAAUAACUUGUAUAUUUUCCUACAGACUUUUGUUUUUUAUUUCAAAUAAAUAAAGAAACACAAUUCAUUUAAUUGGCAUUUAUGCAAAAAAAAAAAAAUAGAAAAUAAAAUAUAAUACAUGUAAAAUUGAUCAGAUUGAUAUUAAAGAAUGCUUUCACAUUUUGCUUUUCACCUCUUAUAGUGUUGAAUUCACUAUUAUUUUCUACAUAUUGGUGUUGGUGUUUAAACUAACAGAAAAAUAUACCAAACUGGAUGUUACUCUCCAUCUGCAUGAGAUAGUAGCACAUACUUAUUUGUAGAUUUUUAUAUUAUUGUAUUUUUGGCUAAAACAAAAUGCAUAUGAUAGAAAAACAAAAUCAUGUACCAUAUGUGUAGCAUAAAUUAAAAUGCACAGACACUGCAAAGUCAUAUAAACUUACAGUUUGGUUAACACAUUUUCUAAAAAGGCUGUAACUUAUUUGUUUUCAAUAAACAAUUACUGUAGUGGUAGCCAUAAUUUGCCACCUGAUGAGUACCCUUGGCAGGGACGAAACAGUCAACCUACAUCUUUACGUUAAAGAAAAGAUAUUACUUGUUUAUAUAUUGAUACAUUGAUAUUUUCAGUAGGUGUUGAUUUUUUUUAUAUAUAUUAUUGUAUUUUUGGCUAAAAUGAAUUAUCUGAUGCACUCCUACAUAAUGCAUUUUAAUCAAAAUAUCUAAAAUCUGUCUUUUUUUUUCUUCAAAUAUUACAACUUUAACUUUUUGAUUCGGAUCCCAAUUGUUGUUUCAACACAUUUUUUUACAAUUAUGAGUAGACUUAUAUUGCCAUCUUAUAGUCAACAGGGAAGACUUUUAACUGCAGAAACUGAAAUUGAAAUACAAAAUGGUGCAUAUUUGUUGGUUCUUAACCUGAUUUUAAAGACUGUUCCUAACUUUCUAAAAUUUAAGUUUUUGUUACUCCUCAGGUCCAUACAUGUAGUUCAUAUGCAUACUAUGGACAGGAAGCUUGAGAUUGAUUUUGGUCCCAAUGGUUUAGGAAUUAGGGCCAAAAAGGGGCUUAAAUAAGCAUUUUUAUUUGUUUUUGCACAAUAACUUUAGUAUAAGUGAAUAGAAAUUUAUGAAAUUUAAACAUAAGUUUCAUGACCUCAAAAGGAAGGUUGAGAUUGAUUUUGGGGUUUUGGUCCCAACUGCUUUUGAAAAAAGGGCCAAAAAGGGGCUCAAAUACAUUUUGUAAGCAGUUGAUUUUGUUUUUCGCUCAAUCACUUUAGUAUAAGUAAAUAGAAAUCUAUAAAAUUUAAACACAAGGUUCAUGACCACAAAAGGAAGGUUGGGAUUGAUUUUGGGGGUUUGCGUCUCAAAAAUUAGGAAUUAGGGGCCAAAAAGGGACAUAAAUAAGCAUUUUUUCUUGGUUUUCACUCAAUAACUUUAGUAUAAGUAAAUAGAAAUCUAUAAAAUUUAAACACAAGGUUCAUGACCACAAAAGGAAGGUUGGGAUUGAUUUUUGGGGGUUUUGGUCCCAACAGUUUAGGAAUAAGGGACAAAAAGGGUCCAAAAUUAAACUUUCAUUAAAAAUUGAAAUAUAGGGGUUAUUUGAUAUGCUGAAUCUAACUGUAUAAUUAGAUUCUUAAUUUUUGGUCCUGUUUUCAAAUUGGUAUACAUUAAGGUCCAAAGGGUCCAAAAUUAAACUUACUAAUAGUUUGAUUUUAACAAAAACUGAUUUCUUGGGGUUCUUUGAUAUGCCAAACUUAAACAUGUACUUAGAUUUUUUCGAUUAUGGGCCCAGUUUUCAAACUGGUCUAAAUCGAGGUCCAAAAUUAAACAAAAAUUGAAUAUAUGGAUAUAUAUUUGAUAUGCUGAAUCUAACCAUAUGUAUUUAGAUUUUUUAUAUAUAUUUUGGACCAGUUAUCAAAUUUGUCGACAUUGAGGUCUAAAAGUUUCAAAAUGGGAACUUUAUUAGAUUUCUUCAAAAAUUGAAUUCUUGGGGUUAUUUGAUAUGCUAAAUCUAAAAAUGUAUUUUGAUUUUGGAUAUUGGACAAUAAUAGGUAAAUUUCAAAUUCAAUUUUAGACCACAUUCAUUCUGUGUCAGAAACCUAUUUUGUGUCAACUAUUUAUUCACAAUCCAAAUUCAGAGCUAUAUCAAGCUUGAAUGUUGUGUCAAUACUUGCCCAACUGUUCAGGAUUCGACCUCUGGGGUCUUAUAAAGCUGUGCCCUGCGGAGCAUCUGGUUAAAGUUAUACUUCUUUAUUAUUUUAGCUCCUUAGUCUAGUUUGGACAAAUUUUUAAAUGUUUAGGAUUAAGAUGACUUUUAAAUUUGCAGUAAUAUUAAUUUGAGUCAAAUAAGGGUCUUUUAUGCCCCUACUCCUUUGAGAUAUUGAAUAAAGUGUUGACAUUUAAACGGCUGGAUUGACAAACAAUGGCAUACCAUGUAUAUCCCUUAACUUCAUAAAAACCAGAAAUUACAAAGAUAAAUUUUUUUUUAUUAUAUUUUCAGAUCACAAUUAUGUUAACCUGAUCAUAGGAGGUUUAUCUAGAAACAUGAGAAGCAUUACAAGCCUGCAUAGAUUAUACACACAAAUGGAAUAGACUCUCACUUUAAAAGAACUUACAAACAAGACUUAAGAACUCAUAAAAAAAAAUAAUUCAUGUGUCAAUGAGUGAAUUGGAGUGAUUCUAAUUGCACAUGAAAAUUUGUGUGCAUUUAAUACAUGUAUU